Molecule: ribosomal RNA, 450 nt
Filed under: uncultured Hyphomicrobiales bacterium
Lineage: Bacteria; Pseudomonadati; Pseudomonadota; Alphaproteobacteria; Hyphomicrobiales
Description: uncultured Rhizobiales bacterium partial 16S ribosomal RNA
Source: RNAcentral
CACGAAGUUAGCCGGGGCUUAUUCUUCCGGUACAGUCAUUAUCUUCCCGGACAAAAGAGCUUUACAACCCUAAGGCCUUCAUCACUCACGCGGCAUGGCUGGAUCAGGCUUGCGCCCAUUGUCCAAUAUUCCCCACUGCUGCCUCCCGUAGGAGUCUGGGCCGUGUCUCAGUCCCAGUGUGGCUGAUCAUCCUCUCAGACCAGCUACUGAUCGUCGCCUUGGUGAGCCGUUACCUCACCAACUAGCUAAUCAGACGCGGGCCGAUCUUUUGGCGAUAAAUCUUUCCCCGUUAGGGCUUAUCCGGUAUUAGCUCCAGUUUCCCGGAGUUGUUCCGAACCAAAGGUACGUUCCCACGUGUUACUCACCCGUCUGCCGCUCCCCUUGCGGGGCGCUCGACUUGCAUGUGUUAAGCCUGCCGCCAGCGUUCGUUCUGAGCCAGGAUCAAACUCU